Molecule: ribosomal RNA, 448 nt
Filed under: Bacillus licheniformis
Lineage: Bacteria; Bacillati; Bacillota; Bacilli; Caryophanales; Bacillaceae
Description: bacterial SSU rRNA
Rfam family: Bacterial small subunit ribosomal RNA
Source: RNAcentral
UUAGGGAAGAACAAGUACCGUUCGAAUAGGGCGGUACCUUGACGGUACCUAACCAGAAAGCCACGGCUAACUACGUGCCAGCAGCCGCGGUAAUACGUAGGUGGCAAGCGUUGUCCGGAAUUAUUGGGCGUAAAGCGCGCGCAGGCGGUUUCUUAAGUCUGAUGUGAAAGCCCCCGGCUCAACCGGGGAGGGUCAUUGGAAACUGGGGAACUUGAGUGCAGAAGAGGAGAGUGGAAUUCCACGUGUAGCGGUGAAAUGCGUAGAGAUGUGGAGGAACACCAGUGGCGAAGGCGACUCUCUGGUCUGUAACUGACGCUGAGGCGCGAAAGCGUGGGGAGCGAACAGGAUUAGAUACCCUGGUAGUCCACGCCGUAAACGAUGAGUGCUAAGUGUUAGAGGGUUUCCGCCCUUUAGUGCUGCAGCAAACGCAUUAAGCACUCCGCCUGGG